AGAUUGAACGCUGGCGGCAGGCCUAACACAUGCAAGCCGAGCGGUAGAGAGGUGCUUGCACCUCUUGAGGGCGGCGGACGGGUGAGUAAUGCCUAGGAAUCUGCCUAGUGGUGGGGGAUAACGUUCGGAAACGGACGCUAAUACCGCAUACGUCCUACGGGAGAAAGCGGGGGACCUUCGGGCCUCGCGCCAUUAGAUGAGCCUAGGUCGGAUUAGCUAGUUGGUGAGGUAAUGGCUCACCAAGGCGACGAUCCGUAACUGGUCUGAGAGGAUGAUCAGUCACACUGGAACUGAGACACGGUCCAGACUCCUACGGGAGGCAGCAGUGGGGAAUAUUGGACAAUGGGCGAAAGCCUGAUCCAGCCAUGCCGCGUGUGUGAAGAAGGUCUUCGGAUUGUAAAGCACUUUAAGUUGGAGGAAGGUUGUAAACUUAAUACGUUUGCAACUUUGACGUUACCGACAGAAAUAAGCACCGGCUAACUUCGUGCCAGCAAGUCG
This 498-nucleotide ribosomal RNA is filed under the name uncultured soil bacterium. RNAcentral describes it as "bacterial SSU rRNA". It matches the Rfam family "Bacterial small subunit ribosomal RNA", at positions 26 to 517 of the family's 1533-position model. The record is from RNAcentral.